AUACGGAGGGUGCAAGCGUUAUUCGGAAUCACUGGGCGUAAAGGACGCGUAGGCGGGUUGGCAAGUCAGAUGUGAAAUCCUACAGCUUAACUGGAGAACUGCAUUUGAAACUGCUAACCUAGAGUAUGGGAGGGGGAGAUGGAAUUAGUGGUGUAGGGGUAAAAUCCGUAGAUAUCACUAGGAAUACCGAAAGCGAAGGCGAUCUCCUGGAACAUAACUGACGCUAAGGCGUGAAAGCGUGGGGAGCAAACAGGAUUAGAUACCCUAGUAGUCC
This 274-nucleotide ribosomal RNA is filed under the name uncultured bacterium. Its description in RNAcentral is "partial 16S ribosomal RNA". It matches the Rfam family "Bacterial small subunit ribosomal RNA", at positions 523 to 796 of the family's 1533-position model. The record is from RNAcentral.